Molecule: ribosomal RNA, 497 nt
Filed under: uncultured bacterium
Lineage: Bacteria
Description: partial 16S ribosomal RNA
Rfam family: Bacterial small subunit ribosomal RNA
Source: RNAcentral
GAUGAACGCUGGCGGCGUGCCUAACACAUGCAAGUCGAGCGAACGGACGAGAAGCUUGCUUCUCUGAUGUUAGCGGCGGACGGGUGAGUAAUACGUGGAUAACCUACCUAUAAGACUGGGAUAACUUCGGGAAACCGUAGCUAAUACCGGAUAAUAUUUUGAACCGCAUGGUUCAAAAGUGAAAGACGGUCUUGCUGUCACUUAUAGAUGGAUCCGCGCUGCAUUAGCUAGUUGGUAAGGUAACGGCUUACCAAGGCAACGAUGCAUAGCCGACCUGAGAGGGUGAUCGGCCACACUGGAACUGAGACACGGUCCAGACUCCUACGGGAGGCAGCAGUAGGGAAUCUUCCGCAAUGGGCGAAAGCCUGACGGAGCAACGCCGCGUGAGUGAUGAAGGUCUUCGGAUCGUAAAACACUGUUAUUAGGGAAGAACAUAUGUGUAAGUAACUGUGCACAUCUUGACGGUACCUAAUCAGAAAGCCACGGCUAACUACGUG